Non-coding RNA from Megalopta genalis, 228 nucleotides. The record is from RefSeq and is a predicted model, not a curated record. NCBI's taxonomy places the organism in Eukaryota, Metazoa, Arthropoda, Insecta, Hymenoptera, Halictidae.
GGCAAAAAUAUUGCUGACACAGUGAUUUACGCAUUAGGAUCACCUCCAGGUGCAGAGGUUUUCGAGCUUACACUUAUACCACAAAACGUAGUAUUAGGGACGCCAGUACCACAAUUAACGGAAUACCAAAAUCGUAAUAUGAUCAACAAAUAAAAUGGGAAUCUAUAGGAUUAUUGGAAUUAAGUGUCACAUCUUUAUAUUGAAAUAAAACGCAAACUAUGUGAGAUA